GACGGGGCCGCACAAGCGGUGGAGCAUGUGGUUUAAUUCGAAGCAACGCGAAGAACCUUACCAGGUCUUGACAUCCCUGACAACCCGAGAGAUCGGGCGUUCCCCCUUCGGGGGGACAGGGUGACAGGUGGUGCAUGGUUGUCGUCAGCUCGUGUCGUGAGAUGUUGGGUUAAGUCCCGCAACGAGCGCAACCCUCGACCUUAGUUGCCAGCAUUCAGUUGGGCACUCUAAGGUGACUGCCGGCUAAAAGUCGGAGGAAGGUGGGGAUGACGUCAAAUCAUCAUGCCCCUUAUGACCUGGGCUACACACGUGCUACAAUGGGCGGUACAAAGGGUCGCGAACCCGCGAGGGGGAGCCAAUCCCAAAAAGCCGCUCUCAGUUCGGAUUGCAGGCUGCAAUUCGCCUGCACGAAGUCGGAAUCGCUAGUAAUCGCAGGUCAGCAUACUGCGGUGAAUACGUUCCCGGGCCUU
RNAcentral lists this ribosomal RNA (470 nucleotides) under uncultured Anoxybacillus sp. Its description in RNAcentral is "bacterial SSU rRNA". It matches the Rfam family "Bacterial small subunit ribosomal RNA", at positions 917 to 1381 of the family's 1533-position model. Lineage: Bacteria; Bacillati; Bacillota; Bacilli; Caryophanales; Anoxybacillaceae. The record is from RNAcentral.